This 70-nucleotide transfer RNA is filed under the name Marmota monax (woodchuck). Its description in RNAcentral is "tRNA.Leu". The stretch from base 4 to 65 matches the Rfam family "tRNA", at positions 6 to 65 of the family's 71-position model. Rfam says of the family: Transfer RNA (tRNA) molecules are approximately 80 nucleotides in length. Their secondary structure includes four short double-helical elements and three loops (D, anti-codon, and T loops). The record is from RNAcentral. Lineage: Eukaryota; Metazoa; Chordata; Mammalia; Rodentia; Sciuridae.
AUAUGUAGCUUGGUUGGUAGAGUACUUGCCUCAAGUGCACAAGGCCCUGGGUUAAAUUCCCAGCAAUACA